RNAcentral lists this ribosomal RNA (253 nucleotides) under uncultured bacterium. RNAcentral's name for it is "partial 16S ribosomal RNA". It matches the Rfam family "Bacterial small subunit ribosomal RNA", at positions 524 to 776 of the family's 1533-position model. The record is from RNAcentral.
UACAGAGGCCUCAAGCGUUAGGCGGAAUCACUGGGCUUAAAGCGUGUGUAGGCGGCUGUCUAAGUGCCUUGUGAAAUCCCAUGGCUCAACCAUGGAACUGCUGGGCAUACUGGACGUCUUGAGCCAUCCAGGGGUCGCUGGAACAAACGGUGGAGCGGUGAAAUGCGUAGAUAUCUGGAGGAACACCGGUGGCGAAGGCGGCAUCCUGGACCAAUUCUGACGCUGAGGAGCGAAAGCCAGGGGAGCAAACGGG